GAUGAACGCUGGCGGCGUGCCUAAUACAUGCAAGUCGAGCGAACAGACGAGGAGCUUGCUCCUCUGACGUUAGCGGCGGACGGGUGAGUAACACGUGGAUAACCUACCUAUAAGACUGGGAUAACUUCGGGAAACCGGAGCUAAUACCGGAUAAUAUAUUGAACCGCAUGGUUCAAUAGUGAAAGACGGUUUUGCUGUCACUUAUAGAUGGAUCCGCGCCGCAUUAGCUAGUUGGUAAGGUAACGGCUUACCAAGGCAACGAUGCGUAGCCGACCUGAGAGGUUGAUCGGCCACACUGGAACUGAGACACGGUCCAGACUCCGACGGGAGGCAGCAGUAGGGAAUCUUCCGCAAUGGGCGAAAGCCUGACGGAGCAACGCCGCGUGAGUGAUGAAGGUCUUCGGAUCGUAAAACUCUGUUAUUAGGGAAGAACAAAUGUGUAAGUAACUAUGCACGUCUUGACGGUACCUAAUCAGAAAGCCACGGCUAACUACGUG
This 497-nucleotide ribosomal RNA is filed under the name uncultured bacterium. RNAcentral describes it as "partial 16S ribosomal RNA". It matches the Rfam family "Bacterial small subunit ribosomal RNA", at positions 28 to 507 of the family's 1533-position model. The record is from RNAcentral.